CGGGUGAGUAACACGUGAGUAACCUGCCCCAGGCUUUGGGAUAACCCCGGGAAACCGGGGCUAAUACCGGAUAUGACCAUCUGUCGCAUGGUGGGUGGUGGAAAGAUUUUUUGGCUUGGGAUGGGCUCGCGGCCUAUCAGCUUGUUGGUGGGGUGAUGGCCUACCAAGGCGGCGACGGGUAGCCGGCCUGAGAGGGCGACCGGCCACACUGGGACUGAGACACGGUAAAAAACUCAUACGGGAGGCAGCAGUGGGGAAUCUUGCACAAUGGGCGGAAGCCUGAUGCAGCGACGCCGCGUGAGGGAUGACGGCCUUCGGGUUGUAAACCUCUUUCAGCAGGGACGAAGCGUUUGUGACGGUACCUGCAGAAGAAGCGCCGGCCAACUACGUGCCAGCAGCCGCGGUAAGACGUAGGGCGCAAGCGUUGUCCGGAUUUAUUGGGCGUAAAGAGCUCGUAGGCGGCUUGUCGCGUCGACUGUGAAAACCCGUGGCUCAACUGCGGGCUUGCAGUCGAUACGGGCAGGCUAGAGUUCGGUAGGGGAGACUGGAAUUCCUGGUGUAGCGGUGAAAUGCGCAGAUAUCAGGAGGAACACCGGUGGCGAAGGCGGGUCUCUGGGCCGAUACUGACGCUGAGGAGCGAAAGCGUGGGGAGCGAACAGGAUUAGAUACCCUGGUAGUCCACGCUGUAAACGUUGGGCGCUAGGUGUGGGGGGCCUCUCCGGGUUCUCUGUGCCGCAGCUAACGCAUUAAGCGCCCGCCUGGGGAGUACGGCCGCAAGGCUAAAACUCAAGGAAUUGACGGGGGCCCGCA
This 810-nucleotide ribosomal RNA is filed under the name Salinispora arenicola. RNAcentral's name for it is "bacterial SSU rRNA". It matches the Rfam family "Bacterial small subunit ribosomal RNA", at positions 103 to 925 of the family's 1533-position model. Lineage: Bacteria; Bacillati; Actinomycetota; Actinomycetes; Micromonosporales; Micromonosporaceae. The record is from RNAcentral.